RNAcentral lists this ribosomal RNA (468 nucleotides) under uncultured bacterium. RNAcentral's name for it is "partial 16S ribosomal RNA". It matches the Rfam family "Bacterial small subunit ribosomal RNA", at positions 28 to 507 of the family's 1533-position model. The record is from RNAcentral.
GACGAACGCUGGCGGCGUGCUUAACACAUGCAAGUCGAACGGAAAGGCCCUGCUUUUGUGGGGUGCUCGAGUGGCGAACGGGUGAGUAACACGUGAGUAACCUGCCCUUGACUUUGGGAUAACUUCAGGAAACUGGGGCUAAUACCGGAUAGGAGCUCCUGCUGCAUGGUGGGGGUUGGAAAGUUUCGGCGGUUGGGGAUGGACUCGCGGCUUAUCAGCUUGUUGGUGGGGUAGUGGCUUACCAAGGCUUUGACGGGUAGCCGGCCUGAGAGGGUGACCGACCACAUUGGGACUGAGAUACGGCCCAGACUCCUACGGGAGGCAGCAGUGGGGAAUAUUGCGCAAUGGGCGGAAGCCUGAUGCAGCAACGCCGCGUGCGGGAUGACGGCCUUCGGGUUGUAAACCGCUUUCGCCUGUGACGAAGCGUGAGUGACGGUAAUGGGUAAAGAAGCACCGGCUAACUACGUG